UCUGUACUGUUUGAGAAGCAGUACGAGUAAGUAGCGCCAAGGUGGAACCUUUGGCAGGUGAGCGGUGACAUCUGGGUUAUUUUAUGGGGGACACUUCCGCCCCCUCCUCAGUCAGAAGCAAUCCAGACGAUCAACCGGAUCCUGUGUAUAAUUAUUGCUGCUGCACUUUUCUGUUUUCUACAGAUCCACAUUGGAACAGACAUUUGGCUGCGAGAAGAGGUGAGGAGAAAAAUUGAUUCCACAACAAAGGACUCGCUCUUUGUGAAGGAGUUGGCUGUAGCCAUAUGGGGUACAGCAGAGUUAAUGGGAAGAAGUGUGUCUGGAAAGGAAUGCCCGAGCAAAACGACCGAAGCAAAGCCUCCCUUAACCCCAUGCAAGCUUGGGACCGUAAAAGAGUGCUUCAGAGGAUGGCUGAUCAAGCAAAACGUGGAGAAGACCAAGAGGGAGAAGUUGGCCGGUUACUUCAUUUCGCAAAAAAUACAGGACCUCUUGAAAAAGGGGAAGAAACAGUUGAAAUAAAAAUCUGAAGGAAUGGGUGUUUGAUGUUUUCCAAUUUGUAUUAAUGUUCAUGUUGUGUGUUAUAAAUGAUGUUCCUGCUUCUAAUCAUUUGAUGUAUGAGUAUUUAUUUACAGACAAUACAUUCUAUACAUUCUGGUAUACCUUUCUGGUAAGGUAGGUGCUCUGAUCUGAAAUGAUAGAUGUUCAUUGAGCUACUGCAAUUGGGUGAGUGUUUCAUCAUCAUAUAUGACCAGCUUAACCACCAUUUAAUCCCAGUUAAAGUUCUACUCAAGAUCAUACCAGUCUGACCAGCUAAUGGGGACUAGCUAGACCACUGUGACUACCAGCUAAACCAGCUAUCCCGACCAGCUAAUGGUGACCAGCUAGACUACUGUGACCACCAGCUUUUACCAGCUAAACCAGCUAUCCCGACCAGCUAAUGGUGACCAGCAAGACCACUGUGACCAAACUAGCUAGACCACUGUGACCAAACCAGCUAAUGGUGACCAGCUAGACUACUGACCACCAGCUUUUACCAGCUAAACCAGCUAUCCCGACCAGCUAAUGGUGACCAGCUAGACCACUGUGACCAAACCAGCUAGACCACUGUGACCAAACCAGCUAAUGGUGACCAGCUAGACUACUGACCACCAGCUUUUACCAGCUAAACCAGCUAUCCCGACCAGCUAAUGGUGACCAGCUAGACCACUGUGACCAAACCAGCUAGACCACUGUGACCAAACCAGCUAUCCUGACCAGCUAGACCACUGUGACCACCAGCUUUUACCAGCUAAACCAGCUAUCCCGACCAGCUAAUGGUGACCAGCUAGACCACUGUGACCAAACCAGCUAUCCUGACCAGCUAAAGUGUCCAAAACCCCUCUAACCAGCUAACUAAUCCAGCCUAAUAUUGUCUGGCUGGUUUACCAGCCAGACCAGCCUUGUUGGUCUAAGCUGGUUUUUUCAGCAGGGUAGCCAAGCUUUCGAGGAGCUAUUCCAGCCACAGGCACCCCGAGUGAGAGGGUUUUUUCCCUGGCAGGCAACACUGUCACCCGAAAGCGGUCAAGCCU
Gymnodraco acuticeps is the source of this 1568-nucleotide long non-coding RNA. RefSeq lists it as uncharacterized. NCBI's taxonomy places the organism in Eukaryota, Metazoa, Chordata, Actinopteri, Perciformes, Bathydraconidae. The record is from RefSeq and is a predicted model, not a curated record. The transcript is spliced from 3 exons.